GUAUUCAUUUCAGCAGCACAUAUACUCAAACAAUAUAGAACAAUGUAGAGAUGAUUUGCAUGGCUCCUGCAUAAGUAUGACAUGCAAAUUUGUGAAAGUCAAUAUUUUUAU
Molecule: small nuclear RNA, 111 nt
Organism: Dipodomys ordii (Ord's kangaroo rat)
Lineage: Eukaryota; Metazoa; Chordata; Mammalia; Rodentia; Heteromyidae
Source: Ensembl